GGAGGACUGUAGCUCAGUUGGCAGAGCAUCUGUCUUGCAGUCUUGCGGGCAAAAGGUGCCAGGUUCAAUCCCUGGUGUCUCUA
This is a non-coding RNA of Podarcis lilfordi (Lilford's wall lizard), 83 nucleotides long. Lineage: Eukaryota; Metazoa; Chordata; Lepidosauria; Squamata; Lacertidae. The record is from the annotation of a GenBank genome assembly.